GAUUUGAAAAAGAGGGAGAGGGAACUCCAAGCUAAAGAAGCUGAACUGAGAAAGUGUGAAGAGAUUGUAAAACGGAAAGAGGAUGCUGCAGCACGAGGUAUUAUGCCUUGCCUUUAUUUUGCUGAAAUAUCAGUAGUCUUCUCAUUGUUUGGGGUUAAAUGAAUAUGUUCAAAUGCCCAGCCAGCAGGGAGCUCGGUAAUUGGUGUUUGCAAAUAGACCAUCUCAAUCGUUGAAGCCUACUUGAAGGCUGAAGUCUCUUGUGGAAAUG
This 268-nucleotide long non-coding RNA is filed under the name Rosa chinensis. RNAcentral's name for it is "sRNA RchiOBHm_Chr2g0130241". Lineage: Eukaryota; Viridiplantae; Streptophyta; Magnoliopsida; Rosales; Rosaceae. The record is from RNAcentral.